GUGUCUAAUGCAUCAUUGUUGGCUAUAGGUGUAAUACUGUACUUGGAACUCUUAGUUUUAUUCAUACUGCCUAAUUGGAACUUUGGCUGAUUAAUACACAUUAAUACUCAUUUCUCCUUCCUCCUUAGGCUUUGCGAACCAUGAUUUCCCUCUUCAAUGAUAUAGACUGUUUUGUUAUAAAUAUUAUUUAAUUUCAUUGUAAAACCAUAAAAUAUUUGUCUUUCUGUGACUGGUUUAUUUCCUGGAUUCUUUUUCUUCCAGGCUAGAAUUUUAAUCACCUUCUGUGAGACAUACACCUUGCCCUUAUUGUUCCCCAGUGAUGUCAACAGUUAUUACUGUUUUGCUAAUCUGUUUUUUGUUACAAAAAUUUUCUACUGAGGACCUUUAAAAGCUAGAAGAAAAUUAUUUUUUUUGUUAUAGAAAUGAAUGCGUUUGUUUGAUUUUUAUUUCUUUUUAUAGCCUGACUGCAGGCCUCUUCUCUCCUCUCCUCCUAGUUCCACCCUCAUACCCUUCCCCCACCCUCUCAUCCUCUUAUCCACAGAGGAGAGCACCCACCUCCCGUAGGUACCAACACCAAGUCACAGAUAGACUAGGCACAUCCUCUCCCACUGUGAUCAGGCAAGGCAGCUAUUAUUUUUCUGAUUCUUAAGAUUCAUCUGUGUGCUGCAUAUUGCAAAUUUUCCUACUUUUCAAAGCUAAACAGCAUUCUAUUGUAAGUAUGCACUAUAUUUUCAUCUUUUAGCCCUUGGUGAAUGAUACAAAUAAUUCACAGCUAAAUGUUUAAUAAUCAACCAGCUAUAAAUAAUUACUAUAGAUGAUUAUCAAUAUUUGAAAAUUAAAAAUUAAAUACAAAAAUUAUUUUUUAUUAAAAUCUAAUAGUAAGAACUGCUCACAUUCAAAUUCAUUUCUGCCUAUCCCAUCUGACUACUUUCCUAUGCUCUUUAUUCUAUUCCACUCACAGGAACACAUUUUUUGCAUUAUUCAUGAGCAAAAUCUAGUACCAAUUUGGCUUCUUUGAUUUUUUUCCCCCUUUGGAAUAUAUCCCUUUGUUUACUUUAAGAGAUUUAUCUAGAGCUCACUCUUAAGGUCAUAGAUUGCUCAAUGCUAUUAAAUGUCUCUUGGUUUGCAAGCCCAUAAAACAAAGCAAAGCACAACAGAACAAAAGCCUUCCAGGAAAUGUAAGCUGAGUGAUCAUUUUGGAAACAGAUUUUCACACAGUCAUGGAGGAUCUGUGAUUACAAUGGUCUCACACUUGCUCUGCUAGUCCUGUCUUAAAAUUCUAAUAAUUGUUGAACAGAGUCCUACCCUUUCAUUGGCCCAGAAACUUGUAGAAGAAGUUCCACUGUGUGGCAUCUUUCACAAAAGUAGAGAAAACUCACUUCUCCAGGGGUCACAUUCCUAAAUUAAAAGCUCACGUGAAACUCAUGUUCCCAUAAAUGUGCUAUAGAUCAAGCUAUACAUAUAAUGUAUAGCUCUACUAAUAUAGACAUCCUAAGCAGC
This 1500-nucleotide long non-coding RNA is filed under the name Mus musculus (house mouse). Its description in RNAcentral is "long non-coding RNA chr16:78649320-78650820". The record is from RNAcentral. Lineage: Eukaryota; Metazoa; Chordata; Mammalia; Rodentia; Muridae.